AUGAACGCUAGCUACAGGCUUAACACAUGCAAGUCGCGGGGCAGCAUGUCGGUUGCUUGCAACCGAUGAUGGCGACCGGCGCACGGGUGAGUAACGCGUAUCCAACCUGCCCUUCACCACGGAAUAAUCCAGUGAAAAUUGGUCUAAUACCGUAUGAGGUCAUACGAUGGCAUCAGAAUAUGACGAAAGGUUUGGCGGUGAAGGAUGGGGAUGCGUCUGAUUAGCUUGUUGGUGAGGUAACGGCUCACCAAGGCGACGAUCAGUAGGGGUUCUGAGAGGAAGGUCCCCCACAUUGGAACUGAGACACGGUCCAAACUCCUACGGGAGGCAGCAGUGAGGAAUAUUGGUCAAUGGGCGAGAGCCUGAACCAGCCAAGUAGCGUGCAGGAAGACGGCCCUAUGGGUUGUAAACUGCUUUUAUAUGGGGAUAAAGUGAGUUACGUGUAGCUUAUUGCAGGUACCAUAUGAAUAAGGACCGGCUAAUUCCGUG
RNAcentral lists this ribosomal RNA (489 nucleotides) under uncultured bacterium. RNAcentral describes it as "bacterial SSU rRNA". It matches the Rfam family "Bacterial small subunit ribosomal RNA", at positions 29 to 507 of the family's 1533-position model. The record is from RNAcentral.